RNAcentral lists this small RNA (152 nucleotides) under Arabidopsis thaliana (thale cress). Its description in RNAcentral is "ATSL088430". Lineage: Eukaryota; Viridiplantae; Streptophyta; Magnoliopsida; Brassicales; Brassicaceae. The record is from RNAcentral.
AAAAAGAAUUACUCAUAUUCUACAAAUAUAGAGAGGUGGAAAAUCUUAACAUAUUACUUUGCAUAAAAGAUUCUACUAUAUUAUUUGGGAAGUACAUUUUAAAUGUAACCUCAAUUUUUGUAAUUAAUUACAUGAAAUGCCAUUAGAAAAAA